GGUUCUUUCCAAACCCUAUUCACUUCUACGCCUUCAUACGUUCCUAAUCUAUCCAUUUAUUCAAGCCUAAUCAUCUUCGCAAGAUCUUAUAAUCUUCUCCAUCGCCGUCCAAGAAGUUCCUGAUUCUCGAUUUUUAGUCAAGAUACCACAGGUAAAGCUUCUUUAGUUUUCGAUUUUGCAUGCUUUUUGAGUAUAUUAACAAUGCAAGCUCAGAAGGAGGCUCCUCCACUCAUGCAAUGUAAAGACAAGUUUCUCCUUCAGAGUGUAUGUAACUGUAGGCUCAGGAGCAACCACAAAGGAUUAUGUUAAUAACCAUUUCAGGUCCUUAGGAGGAUGCUUCCAGCGUACUUUCAGCAUAUGAAAUCCUACAAAAUAAGGGGGAGUGUGCAUGAAAAGAUAAUGGAUAUGCUCCCUGGCGCAAAAAUGCACCUUUCACAUGGGCUAUAAAAUGGAGAGUUUGCUGAGUGUUGUGGAGAUCAAUGCUAUGGAUAAUAAUGUAUUUGAUACCAAGGAAAAAAAUAUGGACCAGAUUUCCUCCGGAAGGAUCGAAACAUACUCCACCUCGUCAGUCGUGUGAUUUUAAAUUUAAAGUCUAUUGUCCAUCGGUUUUCAGGAAUGAGGCUCUCCGGGAGCUCUCAUCUCCUGGAAAAAGCGGCUGUUUCUAUUACAUGACAUCCGAUAACAAGUAUAUGAUAAAGACAAUGAAAAAGGCAGAAGUUAAAGUGAGUCGAUUCUUCCCGUCUAAUUCACGUUCUUUGUUACUUGAUGUCAAUGAUUAUAAAUGUUGUAUAUAAAGAAGUUUUUAGAGAUUUGUAAUUUGUAUUUGUAUCUAUAGAUUUCUUAGUUGUGA
Molecule: long non-coding RNA, 850 nt
Filed under: Helianthus annuus (common sunflower)
Lineage: Eukaryota; Viridiplantae; Streptophyta; Magnoliopsida; Asterales; Asteraceae
Source: RNAcentral